This 3108-nucleotide long non-coding RNA is filed under the name Setaria viridis. RNAcentral's name for it is "long non-coding RNA (SVIR_LNC002631)". The record is from RNAcentral. Lineage: Eukaryota; Viridiplantae; Streptophyta; Magnoliopsida; Poales; Poaceae.
UGGCGUGCACGCGUGGUGGUGCAGCUUGUUGGCUACUUGGCUACCGGCGGGCGCCGGGCGUAUGCGGAGACCGGUGGGAGUGGCGAGUGGAGUCGGGACUUUGGGAGGGUGUGGAUUCUUGGUGGGUGGGUGGGACCCACAUUUUUUCAUAGGGGCAAAAUCGUCUUUUCACAGGGUAUUUAACGGUGAUCAGAUGAAAAAUCUAAAAGAGUGUCGUAUAAGGAACCAAAGCUAUACCCGGUAUCAAAUAGGAAACGAAAAAAAUUUGAAGGUUAGGAAAGGAACGAGUAACUUUUUCUAGUGUAUAGGAAAUUAUCUCUUGUUUAUUUUUGUGCUGUUAGAUUCUUGCUCUUCGUUUCAUUCCCCGUGCGCUGUACCUCAACGUCAGCUUCACCUGCUCCAUGCUGACUUUGCAAUGGGUCAUGAUGCUAAUCAUCAUGCGCUUGAAAUAGAGCUCAUGUCAAUCGACGAUCUCAGCCGUUAUAUCUCCAUCCGAUGGACCGAUGCUCGUUAUUGUUCCGAUAUUGCGAGGAACCUCCAAAUUAAACCCAUUUAAUUAAUUGACCAACUCAAUUAAACUCAAUUAAAGGAGAAUAAUUCCGAUCGUUCUUAAGAUGUAUCAUGAGCAAUGCCCAGGAUUUAAACACCUCACAAGCACAAGUAUUUAACAUCAUCACAACAUAAGCAUAUCCAUACAUAGUUCAUCACAUUACAUAAAAUGGUUCAAGUUCACAUACAUAAGUUUAUAGAGUUUUGCAGCAGAAAGUUCUAUCAUUGCUCUCAUCAUACGCUACAACACAACACAAAAUAAGAAGGUUAACACUAUAUGCCGAUAGUGCCCUUCCUAUAGCCAUGGCCAUCACUUCUUACCCGCACCUCCGUCCGCGGGGUAGAAGUACCCAAAGAUAGCCUCCGGCUGCGGAUCACCUGCAACAACUUAACGGCGGCACCGUGAGUAAAAAAGGUACUUAGCAAGACUUAUCCAAAUAUGGCUAUAUACUUGCCCAACUCUCAAGAAGAAUACAUUUGGUUAAGUAGCAAGGAGUGGCAUAGGUGAUUAAUUUGCAUAAAAGCAUCUAAAUUUUGAUCAAGUUAUAAUAAGCAAAAUACAUAACAUUAUAUGAUCUCUAAGUCAAGCAUCAAAUAAUUGCAAUAAGUAAAUGUAAUCAUGAACAUGAGUUCAAUUUUUCAUGAACUCCAUUCGAUAACUCUACUAUGAAAGCGGGGUAUCAAGAGCUUGCUCAAUGACCGAGAGCGCAGCUAUUGCAAUAGAUUAUACCCAUGCAGGGGUGUACAACUUUUCCCACACGAGACGCAAGACCGACCAUACCCCAGUCGAGGAUAAGUGUUGAUUCAUACCCCCGACCAUUCGCAUACCCACACCCGACUAUGAGCGAACGGCCGAAAGUGUAUAGGUGCACCGGACACGGCCGAUCACACCUCAUCCCACUCCGCGCCGAAUCCGAUCAAGGCAAAGUGCGACUUAUGCUACUCGGCUUGCCAUUCCUAUAUUAAGCAUGUGGUUUGCAUGUAAAAAGUGCUCAAGAACUCAGCAACAAAGUCGUGGUACUUAAUCAACUCAAACAAGUCUAAGUCAAGUGAUGUCCAAUCUCAAUAUGACCCGACCAUACUUGCUCAAGUUCGAUUUUCAUCUUUAAUAGCUGCUCAAGUUUUAAUCCAUUCAUGGCUACUCAAGUAUUAAUUAAGCAAGCAACCUAUAACUCGCGAGUGGUGGUGACCUUGCCACCUCUCGACUUCUACUGAAGCUAAGCAUGUAUAAGCAAUUAAUUUCGUGACACCUACACAAGCAUACUUACCUAGAAGAGUUGUUCUAAUUCAAGGAUGGAUAAUGCAUUAAGUAGGAGCUAAGCAACAAAUACAUAAAUAGUAACUUAUGCGCAUAUAAGACACAUAUACAUCAUUGAUCCAAAAUAGGGUUAAAAGGAUGCUUAGUUGCCUGCCUUGGUUCACAAAGGAGGCAUUGUCGGCAACGGGCUCCAGCUCGAGCUCACCCACCUCUUGCUCCGACGUCUCGGUCUCUACACGAAUGAAAUGGUGCAUAAUUAACAACAAUGCUCGAAGAUGGUGCAAAUGAUGUAUGAGAUGCAUGGAAAAGAAGGUUCAAAGCAUAUAUUACGUGAUAGAACACUUAAAUCCUACACAAAAUAAGGAUAUAUUCACGUUUCCCCUCAAAGGCAGAAUUGUAAAUAACUCGUCAAGUUGCCGAAAAUGGUAUUGCCGAUGAUUCCGGCGACCGAUUGCAGUGGGGUUUGAUCUAAAGCUUCCUUAGAUGAUGGGAAUUCAGUUUAGAUGAUGGGAAUUCAGAUUAGAUGAUGGUGGACGCAGAAAAGGAGCAGCCUAGGGUUAAAGGCUUCGACACCACUCUCAUGCUGGUCUCCUGGACGAUAUGGAAGGAGCAGAACAACAGGACUUUUGCCAGGAGAUAGGAACAAUCGCCUCAACAACUCCUCGCCGUGAUACAGGAGGAAGUAGCAAACUGGUUUGCUGCAGGAGCACGAUGCCUGGCGAUGGCUGGCUGGAACUUCGGAGCAGAUGUUUCAUAGCACCUAGGUGAACAAUUUGGAGUUGCUAGCUGAUAGGUGGAGUGUAUGUUUAAUAAUGUAAUAAUUAUCAACUCAAAUCCGUGUACGUGCGCCCGGUGAAUGACCCGCGUGGUAACUAAACAUCUAUUUUUUCCUCUUAAUUGAAUGAUACACGGCUCUCCUGCGUAUUCUAGAAAAAAAGUCAUAGCAACGACAUGCACGGAGGUUUGGACGAAAUGCAAUAUCAAUGAAGUCAAGCUCCCGUGGAAGGUUAAUGAAGGAGCUUCCAAUGAAGAAGAGAGGAGGGGGAAAAUCAUAGGGGAGCCUCACUUAGGAUGGGGAAGGACGAUGCAGAAAGUUACAAGUUGGAGUAGAGCGGCGGUGAAGGAGAUCGGACCUUAACUUUGAUUCACGGGAGUUGGGAAGAAGAACGCGAAUAACAGCUGCAGCUUGAUCCUUGUCUUGGGGAGAUGGAGCGUGACGUGGGGGAGGAGGAGGAGCUCGUCCUCGGCCUGGCUAUGGGGCACGGCCAGGGGCGCCUGCUCCCAGGCGACGACAGAGCGGG